Molecule: ribosomal RNA, 460 nt
Filed under: uncultured bacterium
Lineage: Bacteria
Description: partial 16S ribosomal RNA
Rfam family: Bacterial small subunit ribosomal RNA
Source: RNAcentral
CCUACGGGUGGCAGCAGUGAGGAAUAUUGGUCAAUGGGCGCAAGCCUGAACCAGCCAAGUCGCGUGAGGGAUGACGGUCCUAUGGAUUGUAAACCUCUUUUGUCGGGGAGCAAGGCACGCCGCGUGUGGCGGGAAGGAGAGUACCCGCAGAAAAAGCAUCGGCUAACUCCGUGCCAGCAGCCGCGGUAAUACGGGGGAUGCGAGCGUUAUCGGGAUUUAUUGGGGGUAAAGGGUGCGUAGGCGGAAGGUUAAGUCAGCGGUCAAAUGUCGGUGCUCAACACCGGCCUGCCGUUGAAACUGGUCAUCUUGAGUGAGCGAGAGGUAUGCGGAAUGCGUGGUGUAGCGGUGAAAUGCAUAGAUAUCACGCAGAACUCCGAUUGCGAAGGCAGCAUGCUGGCGCUCAACUGACGCUGAGGCGCGAAAGCGUGGGGAUCGAACAGGAUUAGAUACCCGGGUAGUC